UACGUAGGGGGCAAGCGUUGUCCGGAUUUAUUGGGCGUAAAGAGCGUGUAGGCGGUUUGGUAGGUCCGCUGUGAAAACUCGAGGCUCAACCUCGAGACGCCGGUUGAAACCAUCAGACUAGAGUCCGGAAGAGGAGAGUGGAAUUCCUGGUGUAGCGGUGAAAUGCGCAGAUAUCAGGAAGAACACCCAUGGCUAAGGCGGCUCUCUAGUACGGUACUGACGCUGAGGCGCGAAAGCGUGGGGAGCGAACAGG
This 253-nucleotide ribosomal RNA is filed under the name uncultured bacterium. RNAcentral describes it as "partial 16S ribosomal RNA". It matches the Rfam family "Bacterial small subunit ribosomal RNA", at positions 524 to 776 of the family's 1533-position model. The record is from RNAcentral.